CCUAGAUGCACAAGGGAAUUAGAAUUUCACUAAUGAGGUUACUUUAGUACAGUCUAUGCGUUGACACAAUCCCGUCAGGGAACCUGCUGUCCCCGAGUGAUAUCUGGGCUCUGCUAGGGGACUUCGUUGGCUUCUAGAAUGGGGAAAGGAGGGCAGCUUGCCGGGUGCUGUCUGCGGCCACCUCAGCUCUGCCUGUCGGUGUUCCAGGACUUGCAGGCAGCUGCUGGCUCUCGUGGCUGAUGUCAGCGGCUGGCGAGCGAUCUGGUCUGGCCGAGGGCAGAUGGCCCUGCUGUGUCUCCCAGCCUUCUGACCGACUGGAAACCAGAGCUAAGGAACACUUUGAUCCAAGGAACUGUCCGGGAGCUUGGAGCAGAGUGGAGACAGAUGAACUGAGUCCCCAUGGAUGAUGAGAGCACGCGGGAGACACCCAGCAAAGAUGUGAGCCCUUUUGGAGUGAUCGUUUCAAACAUCACCGCCUCCGUAGACAACUUGAGGGUGAAGAACACAUUGACCUUGGGUCUGGAGAGCCGGGAGAGCAGCACGCCCACUGUUUCAUGGCAGGCCACAGCUCUUGGGCACGACGAGGUAUGCGGUGGGUAGCGAUGUCCACACGUGGACUCUCACGCUGGUGGGAUGGGUGGAAACUGGAUGCCCGCUUAUUUAGGGGUCUGUACUCCUGUGCUAAUGUGGGGAACAGAGGCAGCCCUUGAAAGAACUAUUGGUAGGGAGGGGAGGCUCUUGGGGCAACCGACACACAAGCAUUUAAACGAGUGAUACCUUUGGCCUUUGUACUCAGUUUUUGCUGAGUGUCUAAGGAGUGAUUUCUCAGGACGGGUGUGGCCAUGAAGGUCAGUAUUUUCCCACCAGACUCUCAUGUUGGCCAUAGAUAAAAUUGGUAGCUUGGAGAACGAUCUACUUCUGGUCAAGCAUGGGGAGGAGACAGAAUAGACAUUGAGAUAAUAGCAGAGCUUGGUUAGUUUUGUCUGGGUUGAGUUCCUAAAUGGAAUACCUUCUUCGUGGAGGGAUGUUGCCUUCAUUCUAAGGGUAGUUGCCAAAGGGAAAUAACAAGAAAGAGCCA
RNAcentral lists this long non-coding RNA (1078 nucleotides) under Felis catus (domestic cat). Its description in RNAcentral is "lncRNA (ENSFCAG00000041705.2)". Lineage: Eukaryota; Metazoa; Chordata; Mammalia; Carnivora; Felidae. The record is from RNAcentral.